UGGUCAAAUCCAGUGAUUCAUCGAAAUUCCCAGACAACAGAAGUUAGUUCAUCUUCUACAACUAUUAGGUAUCUGGACUGGAACAGUGGCAUAGUAGUUUCUCCAGAGGAGAAUCAACUUCAGGAUAGAAUGUGUGGCCUGCAAGACAUUGGUGGCCAUAUCAUGAAAAUUCCAUUAAUUGCUUUUCAAGUCCUCCUUUGUAUGCAUUUAGAGGGAACACCUGCUGGUGCAAAAAAUAUCCCACUUCCAAUUCUUUUCUCUCCCCUUUUCAUACUUCAAGGUGCUGGUGUGCUAUUUGCUGCAUCCAAGUUGGUGGAGAAGCUUAUUCUUUUACUAAGAAGUGAAUCUAGCUCGGGAAUAUAUUUUAGAUUUUCUUCACGGGCUCAUGACUGCUUGGGGUUCUUGCACCAUGGUUCUAGGCUACUGGGUUGGUGGUCAAUUGAUGAGGGAAGUCGAGAGGA
Molecule: unclassified non-coding RNA, 461 nt
Filed under: Hevea brasiliensis (rubber tree)
Lineage: Eukaryota; Viridiplantae; Streptophyta; Magnoliopsida; Malpighiales; Euphorbiaceae
Source: RNAcentral